UACGUAGGGCGCAAGCGUUGUCCGGAAUUAUUGGGCGUAAAGAGCUCGUAGGUGGCUUGUCACGUCGGGUGUGAAAGCUUGGGGCUUAACUCCAGGUCUGCAUUCGAUACGGGCUGGCUAGAGGUAGGUAGGGGAGAACGGAAUUCCUGGUGUAGCGGUGAAAUGCGCAGAUAUCAGGAGGAACACCGAUGGCGAAGGCAGGUCUCUGGGCCGAUACUGACGCUGAGGAGCGAAAGCGUGGGGAGCGAACAGG
Molecule: ribosomal RNA, 253 nt
Filed under: uncultured bacterium
Lineage: Bacteria
Description: partial 16S ribosomal RNA
Rfam family: Bacterial small subunit ribosomal RNA
Source: RNAcentral